UACGUAGGGUGCAAGCGUUGUCCGGAAUCAUUGGGCGUAAAGCGCGCGUAGGCGGCCCGAUAAGUCCGCUGUAAAAGUCAACGGCUCAACUGUUGAAAGCCGGUGGAUACUGUCUGGCUAGAGUACGGAAGAGGCAAGUGGAAUUCCUGGUGUAGCGGUGGAAUGCGCAGAUAUCAGGAGGAACACCUAUAGCGAAGGCAGCUUGCUGGGACGUUACUGACGCUAAGGCGCGAAAGCGUGGGGAGCGAACAGG
This 253-nucleotide ribosomal RNA is filed under the name uncultured bacterium. RNAcentral describes it as "partial 16S ribosomal RNA". It matches the Rfam family "Bacterial small subunit ribosomal RNA", at positions 524 to 776 of the family's 1533-position model. The record is from RNAcentral.